GGCUUCGUAGCUCAGCGGGUAGAGCGCUUGCCGCGUAGAGGCAUGGUGUUUCUGUCGCUGGUUCGAAUCCAGCCGAAGCCC
Molecule: transfer RNA, 81 nt
Filed under: Paragonimus heterotremus
Lineage: Eukaryota; Metazoa; Platyhelminthes; Trematoda; Plagiorchiida; Troglotrematidae
Rfam family: tRNA
About the family: Transfer RNA (tRNA) molecules are approximately 80 nucleotides in length. Their secondary structure includes four short double-helical elements and three loops (D, anti-codon, and T loops).
Source: Rfam by way of RNAcentral